Molecule: ribosomal RNA, 344 nt
Filed under: uncultured bacterium
Lineage: Bacteria
Description: bacterial SSU rRNA
Rfam family: Bacterial small subunit ribosomal RNA
Source: RNAcentral
ACUCCUACGGGAGGCAGCAGUGGGGAAUAUUGCACAAUGGGCGCAAGCCUGAUGCAGCCAUGCCGCGUGUAUGAAGAAGGCCUUCGGGUUGUAAAGUACUUUCAGCAGUGAGGAAGGUGGAUAUGUUAAUAGCAUAUUCUAUUUGUACGUUAGCUGCAGAAGAAGCACCGGCUAACUCCGUGCCAGCAGCCGCGGUAAGUACGGAGGGUGCGAGCGUUAAUCGGAAUUACGUGGGCGUAAAGCGCAUGCGUAGGUUGGUUUAGUUAAGUCAGAUGUGAAACGCCCGGGCUCAACUCGGAAUUGCAUUUGAAACUGGCAAACUAGAGUACUGGUAGAGGGGGGUA